This 364-nucleotide ribosomal RNA is filed under the name uncultured prokaryote. RNAcentral's name for it is "partial 16S ribosomal RNA". The record is from RNAcentral.
CCCUACGGGGUGCAGCAGGACGAGAACACCGCACAGGAUCAGGCCGCAGCCGCCGCACAGAAGCGGACCGAGGCAGAGGUGCAGAAGAAGGCAGCGGACGCCGCCCUGGCUACCGCCAGGAACCAGGUAGCCGCUGCUAUGACAGCGAAUCAGGCGGCCCAGGAAGCGGGUAGGGAAAUUAUUCAGCUCGACUCCGCCAACCAGGAGGCCACCGCCCAAGCUGCGGCGAAACGCAAAGCCGCCAACGACGCCAAGGCUGCUGUGGAUCCGAAGGCGAAAGCCCGCGAGUAGGCGGCGAUUCGGGCCAACGAGGCGGCACAGACCUUGGACAGGUCCCAACAGCGGAAGCGGUCGGCGGGAGGGC